UGGGGAAUAUUGCACAAUGGGCGGAAGCCUGAUGCAGCAACGCCGCGUGCGGGAUGACGGCCUUCGGGUUGUAAACCGCUUUCGCCUGUGACGAAGCGUGAGUGACGGUAAUGGGUAAAGAAGCACCGGCUAACUACGUGCCAGCAGCCGCGGUGAUACGUAGGGUGCGAGCGUUGUCCGGAUUUAUUGGGCGUAAAGGGCUCGUAGGGGGUUGAUCGCGUCGGAAGUGUAAUCUUGGGGCUUAACCCUGAGCGUGCUUUCGAUACGGGUUGACUUGAGGAAGGUAGGGGAGAAUGGAAUUCCUGGUGGAGCGGUGGAAUGCGCAGAUAUCAGGAGGAACACCAGUGGCGAAGGCGGUUCUCUGGGCCUUUCCUGACGCUGAGGAGCGAAAGCGUGGGGAGCGAACA
Molecule: ribosomal RNA, 407 nt
Filed under: uncultured bacterium
Lineage: Bacteria
Description: partial 16S ribosomal RNA
Rfam family: Bacterial small subunit ribosomal RNA
Source: RNAcentral